CAAUAUAAGUGAUGGGCGACCGGCGCACGGGUGAGUAACACGUAUCCAACCUGCCGAUAACUCGGGGAUAGCCUUUCGAAAGAAAGAUUAAUACCCGAUGGUAUAAUAAAACCGCAUGGUUUAAUUAUUAAAGAAUUUCGGUUAUCGAUGGGGAUGCGUUCCAUUAGGCAGUUGGUGAGGUAACGGCUCACCAAACCUUCGAUGGAUAGGGGUUCUGAGAGGAAGGUCCCCCACAUUGGAACUGAGACACGGUCCAA
Molecule: ribosomal RNA, 257 nt
Filed under: uncultured bacterium
Lineage: Bacteria
Description: partial 16S ribosomal RNA
Rfam family: Bacterial small subunit ribosomal RNA
Source: RNAcentral